UACAGAGGUCUCAAGCGUUGUUCGGAUUCAUUGGGCGUAAAGGGCGCGUAGGCGGCGGGGUAAGUCGGGUGUGAAAUCUCAGAGCUCAACUCUGAAACUGCACUCGAUACUGCUCUGCUUGAGGACUGGAGAGGAGGCUGGAAUUUACGGUGUAGCGGUGAAAUGCGUAGAUAUCGUAAGGAAGACCAGUGGCGAAGGCGGGUCUCUGGACAGUUCCUGACGCUGAGGCACGAAGGUCAGGGGAGCAAACGGG
This 253-nucleotide ribosomal RNA is filed under the name uncultured bacterium. RNAcentral's name for it is "partial 16S ribosomal RNA". It matches the Rfam family "Bacterial small subunit ribosomal RNA", at positions 524 to 776 of the family's 1533-position model. The record is from RNAcentral.